UGCAAAUGAUGCAAUUUUUCACGAUGGUCUUCCAAGCUCUCUGGUAGCUCUGACGAAGUCGCCUUUGGCAAACACUGAUGCAGCCGU
Molecule: small nucleolar RNA, 87 nt
Filed under: Oryzias javanicus (javanese ricefish)
Lineage: Eukaryota; Metazoa; Chordata; Actinopteri; Beloniformes; Adrianichthyidae
Description: Small nucleolar RNA SNORD35 (ENSOJAG00000011074.1)
Rfam family: Small nucleolar RNA SNORD35
About the family: U35 is a C/D box snoRNA located in intron 6 of ribosomal protein L13A and intron 3 of ribosomal protein S11 in humans and at homologous positions in mouse and chicken ribosomal protein genes.
Source: Rfam by way of RNAcentral